GAUGAAGAACGUAGCGAAAUGCGAUAAGUAGUGUGAAUUGCAGAAUUCAGUGAAUCAUCGAAUCUUUGAACGCACAUUGCGCCCUUUGGUAUUCCUUAGGGCAUGCCUGUUCGAGCGUCAUUUAAACCUUCAAGCUAAGCUUGGUGUUGGGUGACUGUCCGCUUCACGGCGGACUCGCCUCAAAAUUAUUGGCGGCCGGUACAUUGGCUUCGAGCGCAGCAGAAACGCGAACUCGGGCCCGUCGUAUUGGCUCCCAGAAGCUAUCUUCACAAUUUUGACCUCGGAUCAGGUAUGGAUACCCGCUGAACUUAAGCAUAUCAAUAAGCGGAGGA
Molecule: unclassified non-coding RNA, 332 nt
Filed under: soil metagenome
Description: partial contains 5.8S ribosomal RNA, internal transcribed spacer 2, and large subunit ribosomal RNA
Rfam family: 5.8S ribosomal RNA (bases 1-120)
Source: RNAcentral